CAGUCGUGCCGGCGUUGGAUUCAGCCUGCUUCGCGGAGCAGGCGUAUUUCCGCGCAUGGCAGGUCAGCGUCAGUUUUGCGCGGCGUGAAAAGGCUCGGGUAAGGUAGCUCUCUUCGGGGAGUGUUAUAGACCUGGGCAGAUGCGCUGCGCGGGACUGAGGAUUGCAGCGGACACCCCGUGGGGGCCGGCGACCGAACCCUGCUCGGCCACCCUCGUUCGAUAGCGUGCUAGCGGACGCGGGAGCGGCAGUGCACCGGACAGGCAAGCCAG
This 270-nucleotide ribosomal RNA is filed under the name Paraglomus laccatum. Lineage: Eukaryota; Fungi; Glomeromycota; Glomeromycetes; Paraglomerales; Paraglomeraceae. The record is from RNAcentral.